GAGGGAAUCUUCGGAAAGGGGCGAAAGCCUGACCGAGCAACGCCGCGUGAAUGAUGAAGGCCUACGGGUUGUAAAAUUCUGUUAUAAGGGAAGAAUGGCUCUAGUAGGAAAUGGCUAGAGUGUGACGGUACCUUAUGAGAAAGCCACGGCUAACUACGUGCCAGCAGCCGCGGUAAUACGUAGGUGGCGAGCGUUAUCCGGAAUUAUUGGGCGUAAAGAGCGCGCAGGUGGUUGAUUAAGUCUGAUGUGAAAGCCAACGGCUUAACCGUGGAGGGUCAUUGGAAACUGGUCAACUUGAGUGCAUAAGAGGGAAGUGGAAUUCCAUGUGUAGCGGUGAAAUGCGUAGAGAUAUGGAGGAACACCAGUGGCGAAGGCGGCUUCCUGGUCUGUAACUGACACUGAGGGGCGAAAGCGUGGGGGGCAAACA
RNAcentral lists this ribosomal RNA (427 nucleotides) under uncultured prokaryote. Its description in RNAcentral is "bacterial SSU rRNA". It matches the Rfam family "Bacterial small subunit ribosomal RNA", at positions 355 to 774 of the family's 1533-position model. The record is from RNAcentral.